This 72-nucleotide transfer RNA is filed under the name Eurycotis sp. B074. RNAcentral's name for it is "tRNA-Trp". It matches the Rfam family "tRNA". Rfam says of the family: Transfer RNA (tRNA) molecules are approximately 80 nucleotides in length. Lineage: Eukaryota; Metazoa; Arthropoda; Insecta; Blattodea; Blattidae. The record is from RNAcentral.
AAGGCUUUAAGUUAAAAUUUAAACUAAUAUCCUUCAAAGCUAUAAAUAAAGAUUAAAUUUCUUUAAGCCUUA